AUGAUGUUAGAUCACCGUUUUUUCUGUUGGGGGUUGUGCUGCACCCCCGUCACUUCACCAGGGGGUUCUGUGUUUUCUCGGGAAAACGUGGUCCCCCCCACUUUCACCAUCGCCUCCCACAUCAUCCUCGCUGAGGUUGAAUUAGAGCUGGAAAAAAGGUCUCAGGGAGUCCCAGGGGCUCUGAAGGGCAGGACAGGCCCUGAAAUCUGGCAGCUGGGAGGUGGUUUGCAGCGGCGUGUAACCCCCUCCCCUGCUUCUUCCAGGAGCCCCCACCAGAGCACCCAGCCCCUCUGCCGGACGACGGAGAAGCCGCCAAAGCCAAGGAGCAGCAGCAAAGCGAGGAGCUGCUGGGUGCCGGGAGCUGUGGGGGCAGGUAAGUCCUUGGCUCUGUCUCACUCCCCUUUGGUGUGUUAGGUCUGGUAACUGCACUGAAUACGGAGCUUCCCCCAGCCCCCGCAGUGUGACGCUGGCUUGGAGCCUGUGAAUCUGUCUCCCCUAGCGGCUGCCUCAGCAAGGGGCGGACCCUGUUACUCUCGGACAGCUGAUACGGUCCCACCAGGGCUGUCAGACGUAUGGGCCAGACUGGGCCUGUCUGACGUAUUUAUGUGGUCACAUCACAUGUUCAGAGUGUUCAGAAUCUCAGCUUUCAGUUUAUUUUUUUUAAAGUAAGUUUCUAACCCUCCUGGUUGCAAAGAAACCCUCCCAAAUGGACACAAGGAGCCAGCAUUGCCUUCCUGAGUCUGCAGACAGCCUGAAACCGCAGCUCAGAGGGGUGUGAAUGCCCUUGGCCUCCGUUGAUCUCAUUGAAGUGCCUACGCUUUGGUGACAACAUUCCCUGGCUGAUCGCUUGAGGAGGUGGAAUCAGGAGGGGGCAGGAAUGAAGCCAUAGAGAGGCAGGAAUAGGGGAUUGCUUUGUGGGGGACAGAGGAGAGACACAAGGACAAGGAAGCAAGAGAUAAAUAGAGGGAGGAUGGUGGGAAAGGAAGACAAGGAAAGGGGAGAAAUAGCAGGGGCCAUACAGGGGUGUGUGCGAGGGGAGCUAUUUUCCCGUGGAGUGAUAUUGAUUGUGACAGUAAAGGACUUUAUAAAUAACACUGUUAUUUCCUGCUCAACGGGCAGCGUCUCCUCUGGUUCUUUGCGCCUGGGUGUCCCACCGAGAGCAGUGGGUGUCCUGCUGUGAAGGGAGGUGGGGGACAGAGUCCAAAAUUGAUGCCCUGGGCCACUGUCCAUAACAGAAAGUGGAAGACAGCUUCUCCUCCAAAGGAGCUGGACACCCCAGGGUUACUGCUUCCGCGGAAGGGCUCAGGGCUUUUGGUGUUUAAGGGCCCACGUUCAUUCCCUGCUGAAGACCUGGGCUCUGUCUGAGCAGGUGGGACCUGCCCCCUGGUCUGUGUCUGCGUCUCCUCCCUUUCCACGUAAUCCCAGUGCUGGUGCCCCUUGUUGCUGGAAUAUUCCAGGGUGGGAGGUGGCUCUGCUCCCCACAGAACCAGAGCAUCCUGGAGAAAGCUCCUGAACCUAUGUCUGUUCCUUGCCCCAAUGUUUCCCCGUGUCCCAUCUCUCUGGCCCAUGGUGAGCACAGGGCUGAAGGCAGGUGACUCACCAUAACAGUGACUAUCUCAGGCUACAAAGCUCAGAUCCAGGGUUCCUGGAGUUUGGGGGUUGCUGGGGCUCAGGGUCUGGGGAUCGGGCCUAUUUGUCACCCCUCCUUUCCCCAGCAGGGAGGAUGGGACGUUUCAGAAGCCAGAGCUGGGGUUUUUGGAGCUGGAGAAGAGACUCAGCGAUUUCUUUCUGAAAAGUGCCAUGCUCCAGGAGGUGCUGCUGGGAUUCAAAGGUGAAUUGGAGUCUGGGGGUGGUGUCUCCUCUGGUUAGAGCUACCCUCACCCUGGGGAGGAGUUGGGGACUCUAGUGAUGUCACUGAUCCUCGGCUCCAUCUCACAGCCCAGCUCAGCGAGUCGUCCUUCCCCAUGGAGCAGCCCUGUGGGGCUGGCUCUGUCUGCAGCGGCUGCGUUAUCGGCCUCUCAUCUCUGUCACCAUCUCGUAGUUAACAGCAGUUACAUUAAUAACCAAUGGGGAUUGCUCCACGAAUGCGAGGGCCUGAAUUCUCACCUCUCCUGUCUUCUCCUUCCCCUAGAGACGCUGCGACUGGAGCUGGGGAGCGACACAGGUACGUGUCUGUCUCUGACGGGCCAUGGGGAGAUUUCAGACCAAUAACCAUGUUAGCGACAGGGCAUCACGGCCUCCAGCCCCCAUGUGCACCUGGAAGCUGUGGAAGAAUGUGAAACCGGGUGAUCCCCGUGACUGAUUCGCUAGUGCUGUGACGUCUGAUGGGGAUUCAGAGUGAAUCCCGGAUCUCAGGGGGGUGUUUCCCUUUGGUGAAAGGAACAACACCUGAAUGGUGUGAAAUAGGAUGAAACAAGGACAAAAUCUCCAGCCCCUGAGGAGUCUGAAAGCUUUCAUGAGUGAGUGGAGAUGGUCAGAUGUGGGCAGCAGAGUCUCGGGCGCAAGGAGGGGGGAGCCCGGCUGUGCCGUGGGCUGUGCCGUGGGGCUGAUAUACCGCAGACAGACCAGCUGUGAAUGUUCAUGGUGAAUGCGGAGGGAGCUGUGCAGUGCGUGGGCAAGUUUUUCAUACUUUUCAUAUUGAUUUCCAAAAAGGGGUCCCCCAUUUUUUUUUUUUGGCAAACCCCUGACAUUUAGUAGAAAAUAAGAAUAAAACCCGUAACGAGGCUGAUCCUAUAGAAUGU
Molecule: long non-coding RNA, 2741 nt
Organism: Chrysemys picta bellii (western painted turtle)
Lineage: Eukaryota; Metazoa; Chordata; Testudines; Emydidae
Source: Ensembl